GCCUUCCUCUUUAUAUAGGCUUAGAGAGCCACUACUCGAAGCCAAGCCUUACGUCAGGCAGCAGAGAUACCAAGAUGAGGUUGAAGAAAACACACGGCUUUCUCCACUCAUGGACUCCAAUGAGGAUGGCAACAACAUGGUAAUUAGAAGUCAUUAGCAGAUUGCUCUCAGCAAGUGGAAAGCAGUGAGAAUUCUGAAGCAAGACUUCUCUGGACUUCAGGGAAGUCCCUCUAAGGAAGUGACAUCUAAACUGGAACUCCACUGCCUCUAGUAUGUCUACUCUGGAGUUCCCACCUUUAAGGGUUUCUGGGAACAUUAAUAUAUAUAGUGGCUGAGACUUGACCUUGUGACUCCAGCCUAGGAUUAUAUAAGGAUGUGACUGACCUUAGAGGAUUUCACGGGAACUUAGCUGUACACGUGGAACCCAUUUAUUUGCUGACACUUCUCAUUUCCUUUCAGAACAAACCUACAUUCCCAGACCUAUAAUUUUCUUGAGAAAAUGGGUUUAUUAUAAGUCACUCAAUAAAACACCCUACCAUGGCUUCCCAGUACAAA
Molecule: long non-coding RNA, 555 nt
Filed under: Homo sapiens (human)
Lineage: Eukaryota; Metazoa; Chordata; Mammalia; Primates; Hominidae
Description: long intergenic non-protein coding RNA 2153
Source: RNAcentral